CCUCUUCCUUUUUCUUUUUUCUGUCUUUGUACGACUGAACCAUACUUUGGGAUACUUCUUAAUAGUGACAAAUGGUAUACUGGCUGCUAUUGAAAUGAGAUAGUAGUAAGUCUGGACGCCAACGCAGCUUAAGCCAAAUUGUUAAUUAGUUUUUGACCCCUCAACAAAUUAAAGAAGUAAUUAGUGUAUUUGUGAUUAUCUAUAGUUUUAAUAGUAUUUCCAAAGAUAAAUUAAUUUUAAUAACUGGGUAGUAAAAUUAGGUCUGAUUGCAUUCUACACGUGACAUAUAACGAUGAUUUGACGCUCACAACAUUGUUGUACUAUAUAAUAAGCUUCAAAUAUCAGAUGUUAGAGUGUCGAUGUUUGGUAUUUCUGAACUAUUUCCAUCAAAUUUUGAUGCAUUUUUCCGGUACUUAUGCGGAGUAGUUGACCAUCUCCGAUGUUCGGUAUUACUGAACUAUUUCCAUCAAAUGUUGAUGCAUUUUUUCGAUACUUAUGCGGAGUAGUUGACCAUCUCCGUCCUGUCAUAUCUUGUUAGCCUAGGUAAGUCAGUUAUUAUUUUGAAGGUAGUCUAUAGUAUACUAUUUUUUCAUGUACUUAUGAUUAUAUGUAAUGCAUAAAAGGCAGUAUCAUCCAUCUAGUUCACUGGGAUUGAGAUGUCCUCUACCCUAGCUAAUGUUCAAGCCAACACCCAUCUACUUCAUAUGUAUGCAAGUAGCGGCGCAUGCUCUUUUUAAUAAAUCUUUGUUUCUGUCUGACCAAUUCCUUUGGUUUGUACUACAUGGACCACUCUUAUGUAAGAAAUUCCCAAAUAGACAAUGGAUAAUGGUACAUUAAAGUAAAGAAUCGAUAAUGUAUACUUAGUUGAGUGAAAUCGGUUCUGGCUCUCCAUGUUUGAUGCGGUGAAGCAGAAUAUGUGUAAAGCACUACCGAGUUUUGCUAUCCUGGCCUGGCAAUUUAGUCCUGCUGUACAAUGGAGAUUCCAACGGUCAUAGUCCAUGGAUGCUGCUAGUCAGUAGGUUAAUAGCAUGACCCCCUUUAAAUAUAGUUUUAUUUGUUUAUUAGCAACUUCUUUCCUUUCUUUAUUAUAGUUUGAGCACUUCUUUAGAUAGCAAAUUCUUUGAUCUCAUUUAUUUGUUGUUUCUACCAAGUGUUUGUCCUCAUGUUUGUAAUCAUUCAUUGAAUAUUAGGAGCAAAAAAGUGAAAAAUCCGAGUAGUAGAGGUGCAGGUCUAUCAUAAGGAUGUGUUCAUUUUCAGGAAUGAUUAUGCGGAUCAUACAUGUUACGGAUCUACAUCUUCAAUUGAGUGCAAAGGGAUUAGAAGAUGCUUAUGGGACAACUGUGAAUGUUGACGGGAAAUAGCUAUUUCAAAGUUUGAUUAAGAAAGUCACAGUAAUCAAAAUCUUAGGUGGAAAAUUCUAUUGGCUGAGAUGUCCAUGGACAGUAAUGGCCAGGAACCAAUAUUUUAUUGUCUGAUGGUUAUUCUCCUUUCAUGUACGUUGCAUGUGACAAAAGAAUCAACUUGAUGAUGCUUAUGUAUAUUUUGGCAUCAAAUAUCAACUUCUAUGUGUGUUGUUAAUUGAUGAAUAGAACAAUUAUGGUAACA
Molecule: long non-coding RNA, 1605 nt
Organism: Triticum dicoccoides
Lineage: Eukaryota; Viridiplantae; Streptophyta; Magnoliopsida; Poales; Poaceae
Exons: 2
Source: RefSeq, a predicted model, not a curated record